AGCGUUGGCCGGGCUCACCGGCCCGGCGCGGGGUUUGGGGGCGCCGAGAGUGCAGGGGGAGCAGGCAGUGGCGUCAGUACAGAGGCCACAGCAGGGUGUCGGAGCUGGGUGCUCCGGACGGGGUCUGCCACUAGGCGAAGGGGCGGCGUGCUGCUCUGGCCUCGAGCUUCCCACGGAACUCUGUCCUGUUUCCUUGAGUGAACACUGGGGACACAGCAGCUGCUUUUGUGGGAGGACUAAUCUAAGACACGGCGUGGGGCGGGCCUGGCACAUGGCACAGCCAGGCGUCAUUCCGCCCUCAGGAGCCCCAGCGCUGAGAAAGAAUCCUGUCAGGUGUGACCUCAGCAUUCAUGUGUGUACAUGGACCACAGCCACAUCCUUCCUGGUUCCCAUGGAGGCAGGGCGAUGGGCCUGCCAGGGCUGACCCCUGCCAGGGUGUUGCCCCGCUUGAAGCUGUGGGUGGGGCUGGGCUCAGGGAGCAA
Bos taurus (domestic cattle) is the source of this 482-nucleotide long non-coding RNA. Lineage: Eukaryota; Metazoa; Chordata; Mammalia; Artiodactyla; Bovidae. The record is from Ensembl.